UGAACCUGCNCGAAGGAUCAUUAAUGAAUUUUAGGACUCUCUUUUUAGAGGUCCGACCCUUUCAUUUCCAUACACUGUGCACACACUUCUUUUCACACAUUUUAACACUAUAGUAUAAGAAUGUAACAGUCUCUUUAUUGAGCAUAAAUAAAAUAAAACUUUCAGCAACGGAUCUCUUGGCUCUCGCAUCGAUGAAGAACGCAGCGAAUUGCGAUAAGUAAUGUGAAUUGCAGAAUUCAGUGAAUCAUCGAAUCUUUGAACGCACCUUGCACUCUUUGGUAUUCCGAAGAGUAUGUCUGUUUGAGGUGUCAUGAAACUCUCAACCCCCCUAUUUUGUAAUGAGAUGGGCGUGGGCUUGGAUUAUGACUGUUGUCGGCGUAAUUGCCGGCUCAGUUGAAAUACACGAGCAACCCAUUUGAAAUAAACGGCUUGACUCGGCGUAAUAAUUAUUUCGCUGAGGACGUUUUCUUCAAAAGUCAGAGGUGCUUCUAAUGCGCUAUUACAGCACUUUAAAUUUUAGACCUCAAAUCAGUCAGGACUACCCGCUGAACUUAAGCAUAUCAAUAAGCGGAGGAAAAGAAACUAACAAGGAUUCCCCUAGUAACGGCGAGUGAAGUGGGAAAAGCUCAACUUUGAAAUCUGGUACUUUCAGUAUCCGAA
Molecule: ribosomal RNA, 660 nt
Filed under: Cystobasidium sp. BC29
Lineage: Eukaryota; Fungi; Basidiomycota; Cystobasidiomycetes; Cystobasidiales; Cystobasidiaceae
Description: eukaryotic LSU rRNA
Rfam family: 5.8S ribosomal RNA (bases 157-311)
Source: RNAcentral